AUGUUGUUCGGAAUCACUGGGCGUAAAGGGAGCGUAGGCGGGCUCUUAAGUUAGGUGUUUAAUCCCGGGGCCCAACCCCGGUCGUGCACUUAAAACUGGGAGUCUUGAAUAGUGGAGAGGUCAGUGGAAUUGGGGGUGUAGCGGUGGAAUGCGUAGAGAUCCCCAAGAACACCAGUUGCGAAGGCGGCUGACUGGACACAUAUUGACGCUGAGGCUCGAAAGCAUGGGGAGCAAACAGG
Molecule: ribosomal RNA, 239 nt
Filed under: uncultured bacterium
Lineage: Bacteria
Description: partial 16S ribosomal RNA
Rfam family: Bacterial small subunit ribosomal RNA
Source: RNAcentral